ACGGAGUGUUGCGCUGAAAUUGAGAUUAGCUUGCUAAAGGAAAUUUCUUGUAACACUUAGUGGCGGACGGGUGAGUAACGCGUGAGGAACCUGCCUUACAGAGGGGGACAACAGUUGGAAACGACUGCUAAUACCGCAUGAUGUGGAGGGGAGACAUCUCCCUUUCACCAAAGGAGCAAUCCGCUGUAAGAUGGCCUCGCGUCUGAUUAGAUAGUUGGUGGGGUAACGGCCUACCAAGUCGACGAUCAGUAGCCGGACUGAGAGGUUGAACGGCCACAUUGGGACUGAGACACGGCCCAGACUCCUACGGGAGGCAGCAGUGGGGGAUAUUGCACAAUGGGCGAAAGCCUGAUCCGGCGACGCCGCGUGAGCGAUGAAGUAUUUCGGUAUGUAAAGCUCUAUCAGCAGGGAAGAAAACGACGGUACCUGACUAA
This 434-nucleotide ribosomal RNA is filed under the name uncultured bacterium. Its description in RNAcentral is "bacterial SSU rRNA". It matches the Rfam family "Bacterial small subunit ribosomal RNA", at positions 39 to 486 of the family's 1533-position model. The record is from RNAcentral.